CAGUUUGGGGCCUUGCCCUUAAUACAUGCAAGUCGAACGAACUCUGGUAUUGAUUGGUGCUUGCAUCAUGAUUUACAUUUGAGUGAGUGGCGAACUGGUGAGUAACACGUGGGAAACCUGCCCAGAAGCGGGGGAUAACACCUGGAAACAGAUGCUAAUACCGCAUAACAACUUGGACCGCAUGGUCCGAGUUUGAAAGAUGGCUUCGGCUAUCACUUUUGGAUGGUCCCGCGGCGUAUUAGCUAGAUGGUGGGGUAACGGCUCACCAUGGCAAUGAUACGUAGCCGACCUGAGAGGGUAAUCGGCCACAUUGGGACUGAGACACGGCCCAAACUCCUACGGGAGGCAGCAGUAGGGAAUCUUCCACAAUGGACGAAAGUCUGAUGGAGCAACGCCGCGUGAGUGAAGAAGGGUUUCGGCUCGUAAAACUCUGUUGUUAAAGAAGAACAUAUCUGAGAGUAACUGUUCAGGUAUUGACGGUAUUUAACCAGAAAGCCACGGCUAACUACGUGCCAGCAGCCGCGGUAAUACGUAGGUGGCAAGCGUUGUCCGGAUUUAUUGGGCGUAAAGCGAGCGCAGGCGGUUUUUUAAGUCUGAUGUGAAAGCCUUCGGCUCAACCGAAGAAGUGCAUCGGAAACUGGGAAACUUGAGUGCAGAAGAGGACAGUGGAACUCCAUGUGUAGCGGUGAAAUGCGUAGAUAUAUGGAAGAACACCAGUGGCGAAGGCGGCUGUCUGGUCUGUAACUGACGCUGAGGCUCGAAAGUAUGGGUAGCAAACAGGAUUAGAUACCCUGGUAGUCCAUACCGUAAACGAUGAAUGCUAAGUGUUGGAGGGUUUCCGCCCUUCAGUGCUGCAGCUAACGCAUUAAGCAUUCCGCCUGGGGAGUACGGCCGCAAGGCUGAAACUCAAAGGAAUUGACGGGGGCCCGCACAAGCGGUGGAGCAUGUGGUUUAAUUCGAAGCUACGCGAAGAACCUUACCAGGUCUUGACAUACUAUGCAAAUCUAAGAGAUUAGACGUUCCCUUCGGGGACAUGGAUACAGGUGGUGCAUGGUUGUCGUCAGCUCGUGUCGUGAGAUGUUGGGUUAAGUCCCGCAACGAGCGCAACCCUUAUUAUCAGUUGCCAGCAUUAAGUUGGGCACUCUGGUGAGACUGCCGGUGACAAACCGGAGGAAGGUGGGGAUGACGUCAAAUCAUCAUGCCCCUUAUGACCUGGGCUACACACGUGCUACAAUGGAUGGUACAACGAGUUGCGAACUCGCGAGAGUAAGCUAAUCUCUUAAAGCCAUUCUCAGUUCGGAUUGUAGGCUGCAACUCGCCUACAUGAAGUCGGAAUCGCUAGUAAUCGCGGAUCAGCAUGCCGCGGUGAAUACGUUCCCGGGCCUUGUACACACCGCCCGUCACACCAUGAGAGUUUGUAACACCCAAAGUCGGUGGGGUAACCUUUUAGGAACCAGCCGCAUAAAGGGGGACCCGGUUA
RNAcentral lists this ribosomal RNA (1480 nucleotides) under Lactiplantibacillus plantarum. RNAcentral's name for it is "bacterial SSU rRNA". It matches the Rfam family "Bacterial small subunit ribosomal RNA". The record is from RNAcentral. Lineage: Bacteria; Bacillati; Bacillota; Bacilli; Lactobacillales; Lactobacillaceae.